AACUCAUCAAGAGCGGUGGAGGGACUGGCCCUAUGAAACCCGGCAACCGUCAUGUUUUAUGAAAAUGGUGCUAAUUCCUGCAAAGCGUAUAGCUUUGGGAGAUGAGUA
This 108-nucleotide non-coding RNA is filed under the name Thermoanaerobacterium saccharolyticum. RNAcentral's name for it is "SAM-I sequence". It matches the Rfam family "SAM riboswitch aptamer (S box leader)". From Rfam's summary of the family: The SAM riboswitch is found upstream of a number of genes which code for proteins involved in methionine or cysteine biosynthesis in Gram-positive bacteria. The SAM riboswitch acts at the level of transcription termination control. The record is from RNAcentral. Lineage: Bacteria; Bacillati; Bacillota; Clostridia; Thermoanaerobacterales; Thermoanaerobacteraceae.